GAAAAAAAUAUUAUUUCCAGACUUUCUUGUGUUCAUGAAGUGUUGGUUUUCCCGUUGAUUCUGGGUAUUUGCUGAAAGAUGGAUCAUGUGUUUUUCAUAUGUUGGUUGU
Molecule: long non-coding RNA, 109 nt
Organism: Thalassophryne amazonica
Lineage: Eukaryota; Metazoa; Chordata; Actinopteri; Batrachoidiformes; Batrachoididae
Exons: 3
Source: RefSeq, a predicted model, not a curated record